UGAGAAAAAAUUGAAUUCUUCUUGCCUA
Molecule: non-coding RNA, 28 nt
Filed under: Rattus norvegicus (Norway rat)
Lineage: Eukaryota; Metazoa; Chordata; Mammalia; Rodentia; Muridae
Source: RNAcentral